This 566-nucleotide ribosomal RNA is filed under the name uncultured bacterium. Its description in RNAcentral is "bacterial SSU rRNA". It matches the Rfam family "Bacterial small subunit ribosomal RNA", at positions 13 to 573 of the family's 1533-position model. The record is from RNAcentral.
UUGAUCAUGGCUCAGAUUGAACGCUGGCGGCAAGGCCUAACACAUGCGAGUCGAGCGGAUGACGGGAGCUUGCUCCUUGAUUCAGCGGCGGACGGGUGAGUAAUGCCUAGGAAUCUGCCUGGUAGUGGGGGACAACGUUUCGAAAGGAACGCUAAUACCGCAUACGUCCUACGGGAGAAAGCAGGGGACCUUCGGGCCUUGCGCUAUCAGAUGAGCCUAGGUCGGAUUAGCUAGUUGGUGGGGUAAUGGCUCACCAAGGCGACGAUCCGUAACUGGUCUGAGAGGAUGAUCAGUCACACUGGAACUGAGACACGGUCCAGACUCCUACGGGAGGCAGCAGUGGGGAAUAUUGGACAAUGGGCGAAAGCCUGAUCCAGCCAUGCCGCGUGUGUGAAGAAGGUCUUCGGAUUGUAAAGCACUUUAAGUUGGGAGGAAGGGCAGUAAGUUAAUACCUUGCUGUUUUGACGUUACCGACAGAAUAAGCACCGGCUAACUCUGUGCCAGCAGCCGCGGUAAUACAGAGGGUGCAAGCGUUAAUCGGAAUUACUGGGCGUAAAGCGCGCGUA